Molecule: ribosomal RNA, 1061 nt
Filed under: Bacillus sp. SO6.23
Lineage: Bacteria; Bacillati; Bacillota; Bacilli; Caryophanales; Bacillaceae
Description: bacterial SSU rRNA
Rfam family: Bacterial small subunit ribosomal RNA
Source: RNAcentral
AGGAUGAACGCUGGCGGCGUGCCUAAUACAUGCAAGUCGAGCGAAUGGAUUAAGAGCUUGCUCUUAUGAAGUUAGCGGCGGACGGGUGAGUAACACGUGGGUAACCUGCCCAUAAGACUGGGAUAACUCCGGGAAACCGGGGCUAAUACCGGAUAACAUUUUGCACCGCAUGGUGCGAAAUUCAAAGGCGGCUUCGGCUGUCACUUAUGGAGGACCCGCGUCGCAUAGCUAGUUGGGAGUAACGGCUCACCAAGGCAACGAUGCGUAGCCGACCUGAGAGGUGAUCGGCCACACUGGGAUGAGACACGGCCCAGACUCUUACGGGGGGCAGCAGUAGGGGAUCUUCCGCAAUGGACGAAAGUCUGACGGAGCAACGCCGCGUGAGUGAUGAAGGCUUUCGGGUCGUAAAACUCUGUUGUUAGGGAAGAACAAGUGCUAGUUGAAUAAGCUGGCACCUUGACGGUACCUAACCAGAAAGCCACGGCUAACUACGUGCCAGCAGCCGCGGUAAUACGUAGGUGGCAAGCGUUAUCCGGAAUUAUUGGGCGUAAAGCGCGCGCAGGUGGUUUCUUAAGUCUGAUGUGAAAGCCCACGGCUCAACCGUGGAGGGUCAUUGGAAACUGGGAGACUUGAGUGCAGAAGAGGAAAGUGGAAUUCCAUGUGUAGCGGUGAAAUGCGUAGAGAUAUGGAGGAACACCAGUGGCGAAGGCGACUUUCUGGUCUGUACUGACACUGAGGCGCGAAACGUGGGGAGCAACAGGAUUAGAUACCCUGGUAUCCCCCCGUAAACGAUGAUGCUAAGUGUUAGAGGGUUUCCCCCUUUAGUGCUGAAUUAACCAUUAAGCACUCCGCCUGGGGAGUACGGCCGCAAGGCUGAAACUCAAAGGAAUUGACGGGGGCCCGCACAAGCGGUGGAGCAUGUGGUUUAAUUCGAAGCAACGCGAAGAACCUUACCAGGUCUUGACAUCCUCUGACAACCCUAGAGAUAGGGCUUCCCCUUCGGGGGCAGAGUGACAGGUGGUGCAUGGUUGUCGUCAGCUCGUGUCGUGAGAUGUUGGGUU